GGUGGGGUUCCCGAGUGGCCAAAGGGGACGGACUGUAAAUCCGUUGGCAGCGCCUUCGAAGGUUCGAAUCCUUCUCCCACCACCA
This 85-nucleotide transfer RNA is filed under the name Acidaminobacter sp. JC074. Its description in RNAcentral is "tRNA-Tyr". It matches the Rfam family "tRNA". Rfam says of the family: Transfer RNA (tRNA) molecules are approximately 80 nucleotides in length. The record is from RNAcentral. Lineage: Bacteria; Bacillati; Bacillota; Clostridia; Peptostreptococcales; Acidaminobacteraceae.